GGCGUGGUAGCCAAGCGGCAAGGCAGCGGUCUGCAAAACCGCUAUUCAUCGGUUCGAAUCCGAUCCACGCCUCCA
This 75-nucleotide transfer RNA is filed under the name Candidatus Omnitrophota bacterium. RNAcentral's name for it is "Candidatus Omnitrophica bacterium tRNA-Cys". It matches the Rfam family "tRNA". Rfam says of the family: Transfer RNA (tRNA) molecules are approximately 80 nucleotides in length. The record is from RNAcentral. Lineage: Bacteria; Pseudomonadati; Candidatus Omnitrophota.